CCAUCAAACUGUUACUAGUAUUAAGGUUUAAGGCAGAUUUCUACAACAGAAGCUAGGGUUAACGCACAAAUUCGAGAAAAAUAAGUUCGUAGGUAGACACAGGGAGAGAUGGGAAAGAGGAUGCGCGUAACGGAUGCUGCGGAAGCAGCAGGACCAGGACGAGCUUGCGCGUGAUGGAUGGGGAUCGGCCGCAGGCGACGGCAGCAGGACCAGGACGAGCUCGCGCGUGAUGGAUGGGGAUCGGCCGCAGGCGACGGCGGCGGAAGAGGAUGUGCUCACCAGGAUGGAUGCGGCGGAAGCAGCAGGACGAACGACGAAGCCGCCCUACUCGCCUCGCUCGCAGUCGCGGGGUGGAAUGGGGAUCGGCGGAGGCGGAAUACCUGAUGAGGUGUGGGUAGGGAGGGAUGCUCACCGGCCAGCGACGAUGCGGUGGAAGCUAGAAGGAGGACGCCGGGCGCCACCUCUGCUCGCAGGAUGGGGAUCGGCGCAAGCGGCGGGUGAGGAGACGAAAUUCGAGGCCGAGGCCGAGGCCGGAUGGGAUGGAUUAGGAUGCUCACCGGUGAGCGAAUGCGGCGGGAGCAGGAGGAGGACGCCGGCGCCACCUCUGCUAGCAGGAUGGAGAUCGGCGCCAGCGGCAGGCGAGGAGACGGGAGUCGAGGGCGGCGGGCGAGGAGACGGGACGGAUUGGGGAGGCGGAGGGCGUGCACGCGGUGUCGCCUGCCUAUGUAUGGGUCAUAUGCACAGGCCCAUGAGGCUGGAGUUUUUUCAUCUCCCAAAAAAGUUCAUCUAGGGUCCCUUAU
This 800-nucleotide long non-coding RNA is filed under the name Oryza sativa Indica Group (long-grained rice). RNAcentral's name for it is "lncRNA OsZS97_05G026580". Lineage: Eukaryota; Viridiplantae; Streptophyta; Magnoliopsida; Poales; Poaceae. The record is from RNAcentral.